Molecule: ribosomal RNA, 500 nt
Filed under: uncultured bacterium
Lineage: Bacteria
Description: partial 16S ribosomal RNA
Rfam family: Bacterial small subunit ribosomal RNA
Source: RNAcentral
AUUGAACGCUGGCGGCAGGCCUAACACAUGCAAGUCGAGCGGAUGACGGGAGCUUGCUCCUGGAUUCAGCGGCGGACGGGUGAGUAAUGCCUAGGAAUCUGCCUGGUAGUGGGGGACAACGUUUCGAAAGGAACGCUAAUACCGCAUACGUCCUACGGGAGAAAGCAGGGGACCUUCGGGCCUUGCGCUAUCAGAUGAGCCUAGGUCGGAUUAGCUAGUUGGUGAGGUAAUGGCUCACCAAGGCGACGAUCCGUAACUGGUCUGAGAGGAUGAUCAGUCACACUGGAACUGAGACACGGUCCAGACUCCUACGGGAGGCAGCAGUGGGGAAUAUUGGACAAUGGGCAAAAGCCUGAUCCAGCCAUGCCGCGUGUGUGAAGAAGGUCUUCGGAUUGUAAAGCACUUUAAGUUGGGAGGAAGGGUUGUAGAUUAAUACUCUGCAAUUUUGACGUUACCGACAGAAUAAGCACCGGCUAACUCUGUGCCAGCCGCCGCUGUAA